RNAcentral lists this ribosomal RNA (253 nucleotides) under uncultured bacterium. RNAcentral describes it as "partial 16S ribosomal RNA". It matches the Rfam family "Bacterial small subunit ribosomal RNA", at positions 524 to 776 of the family's 1533-position model. The record is from RNAcentral.
UACAGAGGUCCCAAGCGUUGUUCGGAUUCAUUGGGCGUAAAGGGUGUGUAGGUGGCGCCGUAAGUCGGGUGUGAAAUUUCGGAGCUUAACUCCGAAAUUGCAUUCGAUACUGCCGUGCUUGAGGACUGGAGAGGAGACUGGAAUUCAUGGUGUAGCAGUGAAAUGCGUAGAGAUCAUGAGGAAGACCAGUGGCGAAGGCGGGUCUCUGGACAGUUCCUGACACUGAGGCACGAAGGCCAGGGGAGCAAACGGG